This 598-nucleotide ribosomal RNA is filed under the name uncultured archaeon. RNAcentral describes it as "partial 16S ribosomal RNA". The record is from RNAcentral.
CUCCGGUUGAUCCUGCCGGUAGGAUAGGGCACACCGUCGGGAACCUCGGCGCUGGUGUUGGCCCAGAAGGCAUCGCCGUGCCCGAUGAAAACGGUCUUGGGGUUGGCCUUCACGACGGCCGGAAAACGCGCGAUGCCGCUAUUCCAGACGCCUUCGCCCUCGAACUGCGGGAAAUCGGCGAAGUGCAUCAGAACCGGCACAUUCAUUUCGGCCGCUAGCGAAAAUACCGCCUUCAUUUCCGGGCCGUCGCAAGCCACGUGGGACUUCAAUUCGCCUAGUCCGAUAGCGCCAGCCAUCAGGUUCUUGCGAAGAAUGGCGAUGGCAUCCGGCUUGGUCAUGUCGGUACCGAUGAACCAGACGAAACGUCCGGGGUUGGCGGCCGCAACGGCCUGGGAGUGCUCGGCCAUGGCUGAUCCGGUGAGCAGCACGGCCUUCGCGACAGCGGAGCCAUUGACGUGGUUCAGUUCGCCGCCUUCCUCGCGGCGGGGAUGGAGGUGGAUGUCGAGGACGGGCGCGCCCCACUCGGAUGUGGACUGCGCAUUCGCGCGUGAGAGCACGGCCGCUGCUGCGGUUCUUCCCAGGAAUUGGCGGGGGAGCA